This 408-nucleotide ribosomal RNA is filed under the name uncultured bacterium. Its description in RNAcentral is "partial 16S ribosomal RNA". It matches the Rfam family "Bacterial small subunit ribosomal RNA", at positions 28 to 526 of the family's 1533-position model. The record is from RNAcentral.
GACGAACGCUGGCGGCGUGCCUAAUACAUGCAAGUCGACCUUAGUGGCAAACAGGUGAGGAACACGUGGGUAACCUGCCCAUCAGAAGGGGGUAACACUUGGAAACAGGUGCUAAUACCGUCAACGGAUGGAGGGACCCGCGGUGCAUGAGGUAGUUGGUGAGGUAACGGCCCACCAAGGCCACGAUGCAUAGCCGACCUUAGAGGGUGAUCGGCCACAUUGGGACUGAGACACGGCCCAAACUCCUACGGGAGGCAGCAGUAGGGAAUAUUCGGCAAUGGACGAAAGUCUGACCGAGCAACGCCGCGUGAGUGAAGAAGGUUUUCGGAUCGUAAAACUCUGUUGUUAGAGAAGCGGUAUCUAACCAGAAAGCCACGGCUAACUACGUGCCAGCAGCCGCGGUAAUAC